UAGAUUGAAGCCAGUUUAGGGUGUUUAGCUGUUAACUAAAAAUUUAUAGGUUUAAGUCCUAUCAAUCUAG
Molecule: transfer RNA, 70 nt
Filed under: Peromyscus polionotus (oldfield mouse)
Lineage: Eukaryota; Metazoa; Chordata; Mammalia; Rodentia; Cricetidae
Also listed under: 1 other name
Description: tRNA-Asn
Rfam family: tRNA
About the family: Transfer RNA (tRNA) molecules are approximately 80 nucleotides in length. Their secondary structure includes four short double-helical elements and three loops (D, anti-codon, and T loops).
Source: RNAcentral